CUGGACCACGAAGCCAUAAACUAUCAACUAUUCCUGAAGUCUCAAAGUUUGUAGUAGCACAGUCCAUUGGGUUACUAUCAGUUUUGCCAUAAAAACAACUCUCAGAUUCUGGGAAUCCUGUCAAUGCUAUUGCCAACAUAUAUCAACGAGUCUUGUUUUUAAUCUAUCCUAGAACAACAUUGCUGUCAGUGAAAAAUGAGACACUAUCAAAGUGGACGGACACAUUUACAGAAGAAACAAUAUCAAAUACUUCUACAGCCAAAACUGCCGCACAAAGUUCCAAUCUGGGAAUUGUUAUGUCUACCUUUUGGAGCAACCUUGGCUUUUCCAAGAACUAAAUAAUGAGACAAUGUACAAUCAGCUGACAUCGCAAACAAGUAGACAGCUGCAGCAAUAGCUUUUCUGAAGCAUAGGAGUUGACUUGUAGCAGCUCCUUUCUCCUGAUAACACUUAGAGAAACUGGUACUGUUGCUAGGCGUUGCAAAGAGAGAAGUUCCGGAAGUGCUGCCUACAAAAGAAAAAAAAACACAACAACUGGUACUCUCCGGUCCAAAACACCAGCGAUCGGAAAGGACAGCAGGAAAGUUCUAGCGAAAGAAGGAUGACAGUAUGAAACAAGUGAGCAAGCUGACAAAGCCGCAACUUCAGGCAGCAAUUACGAGGGCAAUCGAAAUGGAGCCAGUGUGCAUGCUACUUGUUUUAGCAGCCCCAGGCAAUCAACUUGGAGGUAGUUCCCACGAGCCCGAGAAAGGGAUUAGAACUCCACGCUAAUAUGUGUGCGGCAUCUGCCGGGACAUGUCAACACAAAGAGAAAGAGUUUGUCGGGAAGCUCGUUUUUCUUAUACUGCUUUUAAAAUCUUAUCGAAACUAAAAUUCAACAUUUAUCUAAGACACGAGUGUAACUAAACGUUAGGUAAAGUAGAUAUAGAUAAACAAUUUUAUUUAAUGUCAUGUGUCAUUAAAAGAUAAUUGUCUAUUGUUUAAUACUGCUGGUCAGUUCUUGAGAUUUUAACUGACAAAUGGAUACCUGAGAACACAUUUUCUACUGAUUACUGCUAACGUAGUCUUGUGAAUUUUCAAAGAACAGCAAUCUGAGUAUCAUCGUAUGGCUUAAAAUAUCUUAACAGGCAUGUAGUCACACACAGAUAGAACAAAUUGAAUUGUUGGAAGAUAUGAAAUAUGGGCAGUUUUCUUGUAUUAAACAGUUGUAAGAUAUUUUAAAUGCUGGCACAGUUUGACUCUAUUGACCUGCGAUGA
This is a long non-coding RNA of Mya arenaria, 1257 nucleotides long. RefSeq lists it as uncharacterized. The record is from RefSeq and is a predicted model, not a curated record. Lineage: Eukaryota; Metazoa; Mollusca; Bivalvia; Myida; Myidae. The transcript is spliced from 3 exons.